GUCGUUAUAUAGCGCAAUGGAUAGCCCGUUGGACUUCUAAUCCAAAGGUCGUGGGUUCGAAUCCCACUUGUCGAUG
Non-coding RNA from Trichonephila inaurata madagascariensis, 76 nucleotides. NCBI's taxonomy places the organism in Eukaryota, Metazoa, Arthropoda, Arachnida, Araneae, Nephilidae. The record is from the annotation of a GenBank genome assembly.